Molecule: long non-coding RNA, 565 nt
Organism: Lepisosteus oculatus (spotted gar)
Lineage: Eukaryota; Metazoa; Chordata; Actinopteri; Semionotiformes; Lepisosteidae
Source: RefSeq, a predicted model, not a curated record
GAAGGAAUUCUGCCUCGCAGGGCGAUUUAUAACAGAGCCCCCUUUACAUCUGAAUACCAUGAAUGACUCAUUGCGCGCACAAGUUAACAAUAUGGACAAUGUGCGAUCCCCUUUCCUCAUUGACAGGAUCCUGUCCGACGGAAAGAAUGGAGCCUCUCGGAGCGAAGAAAAUCGAGGAACCGCCUUAAAGACCAUUCAGAAAUCACCAACCAAACUUCGAGAAAGGAUUGCUAACAGGUCUGUUGCCCAUUGAGUGCUCUGUAAUUGUUUCUCAGAGUUGACGGGGCUGGUCCUUAUACCUUCUCCAGUGAGAGCUGCCAGGCUUGUUGAAGUAGGCCCACUGCACCCUGUGGAGCAUAGGACCUCAGCGACUGUAUUCCAGCAAACUGGACUGUGAGCUACCUCAUUCCAGGAAAAUAAUCUCCAGCACUUCCCUGAUGGCAGCAGGCAUGGGUGGUUUGCUGUUUCAAGCUCGAUCCAGUUGUGUUCAAACAUGGUUCUGAUCCUGUUGCACUCUAGCUGUAAAUGUUUUUAAUAUGCACUCAAUAAAGUGGUGUUUGCUGUA